GGAUGUGAGGGUGAUCUGGCCACAACAUCUGUCACCCCACUGAUCAGCCAGGGUUGAUUUGGCUGAUCUGGCUGGGUAGGCAAGCGUCCCCUUCCUCCCUCACUGCUCCAUUUGCGUCCCUCCCGAAACUGCGUGCUUGAUUGAACAGAAUGACCUUCCCCGAUAGAGGAGGAGGACCAUUCUUUGUUUAAGAGUAUACAAGUAGCUGUAUUCCCUUGCUAGAACCUCCAAACAAUAUUUCAAGAGAAAGAGGAUUUAUAAAAACUCUGAACUGGGAGGGUGAGUCAUCACGACUCAGAAGGACUGCUUGGUAAAGCUAAGUACAGACGGCACGUGCCAAAUGUAACCAGGUGUACCUGUU
Otolemur garnettii (small-eared galago) is the source of this 361-nucleotide non-coding RNA. NCBI's taxonomy places the organism in Eukaryota, Metazoa, Chordata, Mammalia, Primates, Galagidae. The record is from Rfam.